AAAAGCUUCGUAGACUCGACAAAUCGCUCCGCUUAUAGAAAAAAAUGGAAGCAAAGUAGCUUGCUUACUCUUCUAGUAGCGUACGUUGGCGGCAAGGAAGGAGGCAUUGGAAAGACUAGACCAUACUAAAGAAAAGAGAAAUUCGGGAAGCGACUAGUCGCUUCUGGAGAAGAUUUUAGAAGGCCGACCACUACAUAAAGAGAUCCAUAUACCAGUCAUGAGUGAUAGCGAAGCCUAGAGAGGCGAAAGGCAGGAUCGAAGAGCUUAGUGUGAAACGCUCAGGAAAGGAGCAUAGAAUGUGGACAAAAACAAGGCUAUUAACUAAGCCAUUUUGUCACCCUUCCAUGCACACACCUACACAAUAAAACAUAAUACCAAUCCAAAC
This 385-nucleotide long non-coding RNA is filed under the name Gossypium barbadense (sea-island cotton). Its description in RNAcentral is "long non-coding RNA (GBAR_LNC003188)". The record is from RNAcentral. Lineage: Eukaryota; Viridiplantae; Streptophyta; Magnoliopsida; Malvales; Malvaceae.